CGGUAGGAGCCCCACAGCGUCAGGGCGGGGAGGGCGCUUGGAGAUCCCCCGGGUCGGCCCCCUCCGCACCCCGAUCGACUGAGGCCCGGAGAGUUCAGGAACCGGCUCGGGAGACCUCAGCGCCCGAACUCGGAGUUUUCGGACUUUUCAGGCCUCUGCCAAGGGCUUGGACUCGCAGGUGAAAGGACGGGCUCAUCUCACUUUUUUGUCCUGAGAGGAUGGUGGAAAGCUGCACUUGAAGUCCAACUCUGUCCUGGGGGAAUAAUUAUGUUCCCUGUCUUGGGAGCCUUUCUUCAGGGAGCUUGAUGGUUCCAACCCACCCAGGAGCCUGGGACAUCUGUGCCCCUGGGCAAUCCCCUGCAGUUUCCUGAUUCCAAGAUGAGGGGGUAGAAUCCGAAGAUCUCCAAGGCCUUGAUGAGUGCUACCAGUCUGCAAAUUCCCAAGCCAAGUUCUUCAAUGAAUCAAAUUUCCUCCAGUAGCCAUUUCUACCAAAGGAGCAACUGUUUUUCCUUCCCACUGACAUGGCUAUGUAUUCGAACUGGAUAUAGGUGAGAGGCAUUUUUGUCCUAGCUUCUCGGGCCCCUCCAAGGAGCUCCAAGAGGCUUAAGGAUCCCAGCCAUGUUGGGAUAAAAAUACCCAAUCAAUCAAUAAACAUUUUAUUUAAAAAUGAUUUAUUUAAAAAAUCACACAAUUUGAGAGCAAAUACAGAAGAUAUGAAUUAGCAAAACGAACAAAAUUAAAAUCUCAUACAAUCGCAGGACACUGGGACCUGAAGUCUUGGAGAGGAUGUAAUCACUAAGUCAUCCCAAGGAAGAGUGGGAUGCCUACAAGAGAGGGAUGCCUACAAGAGAGGGAUGCCUAAAUUGGUUACCCCUAAGCCCACCGACUUUUAAGGCAUGUGUAAGUGAGUGGGAACCUGCAAAAAGACUGGAAGGAGCAGCCAGAGAGGUAGGAAGAAAACCAGGAGUGCCUGUUGUCACGGAAGCUGAGGGCAAGGAGGACAGUGGUUGGGAGAAUCUGAUGCAGCAGCUCCAAGGACCAUGGCCCCAGGAACUAGGCACAAGUGACAGGAGACACUUGCUAUGUCUAAACCCAGUGCACCCUCAGCCCGGCCUCGCCUUUUCAAGGACGGCUAGCACAGGCCAUCAUCCUGGCCCACGAUGAAGGUGGCCAAGCGGGAUGGGAGCGCGGGUCUCCCCAUCCCCAGCGGUGACGGGCGGCGGCUCUUUCCUGAAGAAUGGGGCGGCGUCCGCAACGGGAACCGCUGGAGGCGCUCCCCGGGACCCUGGCCCGCCCUCGCCCCCGCGCAUGCCUGGCCGCUGA
Molecule: long non-coding RNA, 1323 nt
Filed under: Homo sapiens (human)
Lineage: Eukaryota; Metazoa; Chordata; Mammalia; Primates; Hominidae
Description: HSALNT0353984
Source: RNAcentral